GUCCACUCGGCUACCCUGGAGUGGACAAGGCACCUGCCCGGUAAGCAGAAGGGUGUGGGUUCGAUUCCCGCCCCUGGACA
Molecule: non-coding RNA, 80 nt
Organism: Cordylochernes scorpioides
Lineage: Eukaryota; Metazoa; Arthropoda; Arachnida; Pseudoscorpiones; Chernetidae
Source: the annotation of a GenBank genome assembly